This is a small nucleolar RNA of Nematolebias whitei (Rio pearlfish), 84 nucleotides long. RefSeq annotates it as small nucleolar RNA SNORD79. The record is from RefSeq and is a predicted model, not a curated record. The transcript has a single exon. Lineage: Eukaryota; Metazoa; Chordata; Actinopteri; Cyprinodontiformes; Rivulidae.
CGCUGUCAAUGAUGAUUUUGUUUAUUAAACAAUGGGAAUCUCUCUGAAAAAGAGUGAUAGAUGACUUUUUUUUCUGAUGCAGUU